RNAcentral lists this ribosomal RNA (301 nucleotides) under uncultured bacterium. RNAcentral describes it as "partial 16S ribosomal RNA". It matches the Rfam family "Bacterial small subunit ribosomal RNA", at positions 509 to 808 of the family's 1533-position model. The record is from RNAcentral.
CAGCCGCCGCGGUAAUACAGAGGGUGCAAGCGUUAAUCGGAUUUACUGGGCGUAAAGGGCGCGUAGGUGGUUAUUUAAGUGAGAUGUGAAAGCCCCGGGCUUAACCUGGGAACUGCAUCUUAUACUGGGUAACUGGAGUGCAGUAGAGGGUAGUGGAAUUUCCGGUGUAGCGGUGAAAUGCGUAGAUAUCGGAAGGAACACCAGUGGCGAAGGCGGCUACCUGGACUGAGACUGACACUGAGGCGCGAGAGCGUGGGGAGCAAACAGGAUUAGAUACCCCGGUAGUCCCUGUCUCUUUACC